GACAAAAUUGACCUUAGUGAGGUAGUUAAAAACAGUUUUUUUUAUUCGGACGGCAAUAUGAAAAUGUGGGUAUAAGAUCAUGCGCACCCAAGGAGUAACUUCAACACUUCGGCUGCUGCAAACAAAGAAGAUGGUUUGUGGUCGUUACGUAUUAGUUGCUCUGACUCUAUUUUGCCUCCUCUCUUCGUCACAGUUAGGAGGUCCGACAUGCGUUCUUGCAAGUGGCUGGAAAAGACUAAGUCACGGUUACAUCACAAGAACUACUCGUUCUACUACACGGAGCACAACACGCCGCCCUAAUGGGAAAUCAUGCGGAUAAAAGGCUCCAAAUUCUCCAAGAUUUUGGUUACAGAAUACAAGACAGCGAGAUCAAUGUGGAAAAUGCCAAAAUAAAUAAACCAUUUAUUUUCUUACGA
This is a long non-coding RNA of Dermacentor silvarum, 416 nucleotides long. RefSeq lists it as uncharacterized. The record is from RefSeq and is a predicted model, not a curated record. Lineage: Eukaryota; Metazoa; Arthropoda; Arachnida; Ixodida; Ixodidae. The transcript is spliced from 2 exons.